AGUUACUUCUUCUGGCCAAAAAAUUCAAAACUACUGGGCUGAGGUGUCACAGACUGAUACAAAUCAGACAUGACAAAGGGAGACCCUUGAAGACCUUGACUAUGGACAAGAAGGAGAUCGACAAGAUCAACAAGAUAGCCGGUGAACCAAGAGCAGGCAGGCCAGAAGCAAAAGCUUCCUUCUUCCAUGGAUUUCCGGGAGCUUCCAUGGAUUUCCGGUGUGCUCCAGACCAGCCCUGGGGUUUCCCAGCUCCAAAGAUCUGGAUUAGAGUUAAGUCCAGCUGGAGCCAGGUUGGCAAGAGGAGCCACGCAGUCCUAGAACACACUGACGAUUCCUUUCACAUGGAAGCAAGCAUUCCUGUCUACAGUGUGUCUCACACCUGAUGCCACAAUGUCUACACUUAAUAACUAUGUACCAAAUGAAUUGUGCCUGAAGAGGAGAGGUGCUUCAGAUGGCUAUAAGAAAGUCUCAGUGUAAGGUCCCUGUGACACGUUGCUUUUGACGCCUUUGGUUAAAUUCCCAAGAUUAGUAUAGCUGGUAGAUCUCUCUUUAGUGUGCACAGCCUGAGGAGGCGGAAGAGACUCAGUCUGGAAUCUGUUCUCCGCCGCCAUCUUUCUCUGCUCACAGGUCUCUGCAUCUUUGACCUGCUUUUGCUUCUCUGCACAGACAAAGGCAAUCUUCAACGUAAGAUUCACACAAACCAUACAGAAAUGUGGCAGCAUUGUAGUUUUGCAAAAAUCCUCUGUCUAAAAAGAUUCUUCAAACUCUGAUCAUCUCUUCCCCGAUCAUGAAUUAGAAAUUCAAGUUUUCCACACUUGAGGAAUUUGGGAUGUAGAGUCUGGCUUCUGGGCAUGUGCACUGAAUAUUAUUGUUUUAUUUUUGCUUCUGAAGAGUCAGAUUCAUGAUACAAGGGACCAGGUGUCAUGAGGUCAAGUUCAUACAAGUGCCUACUGUGCACUGAGCAAACUCUUCCCCCAUAGCUGCCUUGCCUCCUUGUUCCUGCUCCACCUCCCCUAUUUGUCCCCUAUGUUUGCAUAAACAGUCUCACUUGUACAUUCAUAUUGUAAAUAUGUACAUGAUUUUAUGUACCUAUAUAAAAUCAGAAUCCACAAAGACAUUAUAUUUGUCUUCCUAAGACUGACUUCCCUCACUUAACUAUCUCCAGUUAAAUCCAUUUUUUUUUUUCAUACAAACAGCAUAACUUUGUUCUUUUUUAUGGCUGGGAAAAUUCUGUGUGUACAAACACAACAUUUUGUUUUUAAUCCACCCCCUCUGCUUAGAGGCUCCUAUGUUAGUUCCAUUGUUUAUCUAUUGUAGACUGCGCUUUCCUGGUUUCCCUUCAGCAAAACUCCCUAUCCCAUCCCCUUCCUCCUGCUUCUAUGAGGGUGCUCCCCCACCCACCCAUACCCUCCUGUCUCACCACCCUAGUAUUCCCUGGACACUGGGGCAUUGAGCCUUCACAGGACCAAGGGCCUCCCCUCCCAUUAAUACUAGAUAAGGCCAUCCUCUGCUACAUACGCAGCUAAAGCCAUGGAAACUCUUAUAAAGGAAAACAUUUAAUUAGGGUUGACUUACAGCUCAGAAGUUUAGUCCAUUGUCAUCAUGGAGGGAAGCAUGGCAGCAUGCAGGCAGACAUGGUGCUGGAGAGGAGCUGAGAGGUAGAUCUAAUUCUAAAUUGGCAGGCAGCAGAAAAAGAGAGUGACCCUGACUUAGGCAUCUAAGACCUCAAAAGCCCACCCGCUGUGACACACUUCUUCAAACAAGGCCACACCUCCAAUAAUGCCACUCCCUGUGAGUCUCUGGGGCCUAUUUUCAUUCAAACCAUUGCACUUCAGGAAGAAUGUUGACCCUGUACAAAUUCAGCAGUCAAUAAAGAAACAGAGUGUGCUCAUUUUGGAGACAUCAAGGAAACAACUGCAUCUUUCCUCAUGGCUUUCGGUACUUGAAUUUCUACCAGAUGGGAUUUUUUAUUCUAUAGCAGCAGGAUUUCCUAGAGCCACUAAUAGCAGGAAAUCUGAAUUUACAAACACUAAACUAGAAGCAACAUAAAAGUGAUCACCUAUAUUGGUUGGAAGACAUGAAUGAUGAUGGGUGUUUAGACUUCCUGAAAGCUAUAGGGCAUGUCGAAGAGACCUCCUGCAGGUCUUGUUUGCUGGUAUUCCCAUCUUAGAAUGCUUUCUUCUCAAAGUGAGCCAUGUGAGCCAGCCAUCUUGCAAACAUCCCCUUCUGACUCAACGUGCUGAGAGAUUCCACAGGACAACUGCCCAUCCAACUUGCUGCCAAAUUCACAGACCACAGACACGAUUAAAAAUGUCAAAUAUUUCUUGUCAAGGCAGUGAGCUUUGGGAUAAUCUGUUUUACACAGCAAUCAAUAACUAAUGCAAAAGAUGUUGAAAUUCUCAUUCACUCAUUGUUUUUUCACUGUCUGUUCUGGGCAUGGGAUUUGAUUGAUCUCAUCACGGAUUCUGAGAAAAGAAGCAGGAUGGAAAGAAACAGACCUUGGGGGCAUCAGUGAGGUCACGCCUCACAAGGGGACUGAGACUUCACUAGGCAUGGAAUUCCCUUCUGGAUGCCUGUGAUAGAAAAACACUCCUUUAGGCAGAGAGUAGAUGAUCAUCUUAACUGAAUGAGAGCUUUUUACAUUUUAAUUCAUACAGCCCACAGGAAGCAUUAGUAUUAUUCCAUUUCAUAAGAGGAAAAUUGGAGCCUGAGCAAGUCUAUGGGUCCAGGCCAUUCUAUGUAGAACCUCCCCAGCUCUUUCAGCUCUGCUUUUCCUCUGUUGGUUCAGACUCAGAUGGGGGAUUCCUAUGUAGUGGUCAGUACCACCCCUGCUCCCAGUAGCUCAUACUUAACAAUUAAGUGAUCUUCACAGCAAAGUGUUAGCCCUCUGCAAAAAGUUCUAGAAAACAGCCUGGGGACAUUUUCUUGGAUCCACUGGUUUGCUUACCAGCCCACUCUGCCCAAGCUACAGCCAGACUUCUGUUACAUGUCCAGCCAGGUAUAGGGAGGUGGGGAAACCCCAGAUGAACUUCACAGACUGAGUACAGGAGAGAGUCUUUCUAAAGAAAAUUCCAGGUUUGACCUCCACGGUAAAAAACAUUGGUUAAAAUAAAAUAAAAAUAACUGAUGGCCAACAGCAUUCCUCCCUUUGUGACUGGAGAAGAGGGAGCCUAGUAGGAGAAGGUCAGAAAGAAACUAGCAGAGUCUUGCAGAGUCUUGCAUUUACUUCACUAGCAUUCUCUAAGUGAUGCUUAAUUAGCCUCUUGCUAGGUCUUAUGGAUAAAUGCAAUAGAGCAGUAAUGUGAACUGGCUUGCAACAUUCAAUCAUCAAAACGUCAGGAAAUUCACAACACGGUUGUUAAAUGCAGCCAUUAUAAAAAUUAAGUGACUUCAUUUUAGAAUAAAAUUAUAUUAAAGUAGCGGCAAUGAGCAUGCAACUCAGGUCACUAAGCAUUUAAGACAAUUUACUUUUACCCAUAUUAUUUAUAGCUAAUGUACAUGGAGGAGACGGAAACUUCACUGAUAUCUUUAUGGAAAUUGGCCAUACUAUGGUGGCCAUAGAAAUGGCCAGAUGUUACCAUUCCAGGCUUGGGUUUGUGUUUUUCUUGAUCAUGUAAGUGAAAGUGAUGCUAUGUAGCAAGUUUUGUUUUUUUUUCUUUUUUAAUAGCCAUUGCAUUGUAAAUUGUGCAAAACAGUGAUACUGUGAUCCUCCUUUGGUGCUUGUGAAUAUCUGACAUAGAUAAAAGAAUACAUUUUUGAUG
RNAcentral lists this long non-coding RNA (3761 nucleotides) under Mus spretus (western wild mouse). RNAcentral describes it as "predicted gene 14015 (ENSMSPG00010038361.1)". Lineage: Eukaryota; Metazoa; Chordata; Mammalia; Rodentia; Muridae. The record is from RNAcentral.